Molecule: non-coding RNA, 120 nt
Organism: Podospora conica
Lineage: Eukaryota; Fungi; Ascomycota; Sordariomycetes; Sordariales; Podosporaceae
Source: the annotation of a GenBank genome assembly
GGCAAAGUAGCCAAGCGGUCUAAGGCGCCAGGUUCAGGUCCACCUGAAUUUCAGCAUUCCCAUCUGAGAGUGUUUCCUGGUCUGAGAAAUCAGGCGCGAGUUCGAAUCUCGUCUUUGUCA